Molecule: long non-coding RNA, 1064 nt
Filed under: Parus major (Great Tit)
Lineage: Eukaryota; Metazoa; Chordata; Aves; Passeriformes; Paridae
Description: lncRNA (ENSPMJG00000016835.1)
Source: RNAcentral
GAAAUUUCAUAUUUUUGAGAUCACGUCCCUGGUUCAGUGAAAUUUCUUUCCCUGUAUAAUGUGGAGUACUCAUGGCCAGAUGGGUUAUCUGCUAUUCUCACUGUCCUCUGAGAUAUCAUCAACUGGACACUGUUAAGACUGGCCUCCAUAACAGGUAUUCCCUGGUGAUCAGGUAAUCCUGUGGUCAUGUUUUCAGAAAUUUUAAGGACAGAACAGAUCAUCUUCUCUGUUUUUUUACAUAAUGCAAGCCCUGAUUUUAAUUCAGCUGGGGCACAUACUAUUCAUUUUCACUUUCAAACAUAAUAAGGGUAAAGUAUGUCUUUGCACAGUCCUUGUAUUUAGAGCUGGAGAAAUCCUAAUUGGUCUCAUUUCAUGUGUCUCCUGGGGACCAGCAGAGGAUCAUUUCCUUUAGUGAGUGCAGACAUAAGUUCUAAGUGAUUCAAAAGAUAGAGGUUUCACUGCUUUCCUGGAAAAAAAAUCUCCUGCAAAAAGAUCUUGCUUAUUUUUUCCACUGUUCCUAGUGUUAUGUCCAUAAACACAAUAAUUCAAAUCUUUGAAAAUGUUUUCAUCUCAAAAGAGGCUACCAGCUUUCCCUGUGUACUGCCUCUCAGGGAUUUGUACAGCUCUUCCUUGACUCUAAAUUCACUUUAUCAUCACUUCGACAUUUUUUUCCAGGUGCAAAAUCCAUGUAACCUUGGAUCCACUGCUUUCUCAUUUUCUUGGCUACCUCAGGUGCAGGAUCAGCAGAGAAAUUUAUGUUCCACUCCCCAACCGCUCCUGCUCCGUGAAGACACCAGAGUUUAUCCCUGAAUUCCCAGCAAGGGGACAAAUGCUGCCACCAAGCUUAAAAAAGCUUUGUUGAUCUGAGAAUGUUCAGAGAUCUGCACAAUACAAACGACAACUACAUCCCUCUACCACACUGCUUGCAUGUGACCAAAAUUUUCACCCUCAAUUUUUGCUGCAUCAGGCCACAUAGUAGGAGAGAAGGUUGCAUCUAGUUCCUUCCCAGAGAGUCCAUCUCUUUUGAUUUUGUAUUUGGCAAAAUAAAUCAUUUUUAUUUAUCA